Molecule: ribosomal RNA, 356 nt
Filed under: Salmonella enterica subsp. enterica serovar Typhimurium
Lineage: Bacteria; Pseudomonadati; Pseudomonadota; Gammaproteobacteria; Enterobacterales; Enterobacteriaceae
Description: partial 23S ribosomal RNA
Rfam family: Bacterial large subunit ribosomal RNA
Source: RNAcentral
GCUCAACGGAUAAAAGGUACUCCGGGGAUAACAGGCUGAUACCGCCCAAGAGUUCAUAUCGACGGCGGUGUUUGGCACCUCGAUGUCGGCUCAUCACAUCCUGGGGCUGAAGUAGGUCCCAAGGGUAUGGCUGUUCGCCAUUUAAAGUGGUACGCGAGCUGGGUUUAGAACGUCGUGAGACAGUUCGGUCCCUAUCUGCCGUGGGCGCUGGAGAACUGAGGGGGGCUGCUCCUAGUACGAGAGGACCGGAGUGGACGCAUCACUGGUGUUCGGGUUGUCAUGCCAAUGGCACUGCCCGGUAGCUAAAUGCGGAAGAGAUAAGUGCUGAAAGCAUCUAAGCACGAAACUUGCCCCGA